This 441-nucleotide ribosomal RNA is filed under the name uncultured Sedimentibacter sp. RNAcentral's name for it is "bacterial SSU rRNA". It matches the Rfam family "Bacterial small subunit ribosomal RNA", at positions 945 to 1382 of the family's 1533-position model. The record is from RNAcentral. Lineage: Bacteria; Bacillati; Bacillota; Tissierellia.
UUUAAUUCGAUGCAACGCGAAAAACCUUACCCACCUUUUGACAUGGCAGGAAUCCUAAAGAGAUUUGGGAGUGCUCGAAAGAGAACCUGCACACAGGUGCUGCAUGGCUGUCGUCAGCUCGUGUCGUGAGAUGUUGGGUUAAGUCCCGCAACGAGCGCAACCCUCGUCCUAUGUUGCCAGCGGGUCAUGCCGGGGACUCAUGGGAGACUGCCGGGGUCAACUCGGAGGAAGGUGGGGAUGAUGUCAAGUCAGCAUGGCCUUUAUAUCCUGGGCUACACACACGCUACAAUGGCCAACACAAUAGGUUGCUAAGCCGCGAGGUGGCGCCAAUCCAUAAAGUUGGUCUCAGUUCAGAUUGUAGGCUGCAACCCGCCUGCAUGAAGAUGGAGUUGCUAGUAACCGCAGGUCAGCUAUACUGCGGUGAGUACGUUCCCGGGGCUU